GAUGAGGAACGUAGCGAAAUGCGAUAAGUAAUGUGAAUUGCAGAAUUCAGUGAAUCAUCGAAUCUUUGAACGCACAUUGCGCCCCCUGGUAUUCCGGGGGGCAUGCCUGUCCGAGCGUCAUUACAACCCUCAAGCUCAGCUUGGUAUUGGGCCCCGCCGACCCGGCGGGCCCUAAAGUCAGUGGCGGUGCCGUCCGGCUCCGAGCGUAGUAAUUCUUCUCGCUCUGGAGGUCCGGUCGUGUGCUCGCCAGCAACCCCCAAUUUUUUUCAGGUUGACCUCGGAUCAGGUAGGGAUACCCGCUGAACUUAAGCAUAUCAAUAAGCGGAGGA
This 329-nucleotide unclassified non-coding RNA is filed under the name soil metagenome. RNAcentral describes it as "partial contains 5.8S ribosomal RNA, internal transcribed spacer 2, and large subunit ribosomal RNA". The stretch from base 1 to 120 matches the Rfam family "5.8S ribosomal RNA", at positions 35 to 154 of the family's 154-position model. The record is from RNAcentral.